AAUAAAUGAUUUGUUAAAACACUGACUAAUGAAUUAGACCUGAUCACUGACCACGACCCUAGUGAUGAAAGAAUUUCACAUGUACCAAUUACAUAAGUAUAGAAGUAUGAAGGCAAUGGAGAUGACUAAUGAAUUAGACCUGAUCACUGACCACGACCCUAGUGAUGAAAGAAUUUCACAUGUACCAAUUACAUAAGUAUAGAAGUAUGAAGGCAUUGGAGAUGUAACACAAGCAUUUGCUCACUAAUUGAACAUGACCCCCAUCAAUAAGAUUCCUUGUUUUCUCAAAAAAUAAUAAUAUUCCUUGUCAACAAUAGGAUUCAUAUGUAAGUAUAAAAGUACGGAAGAUGUUGGAGAAAUAUUGCAAGUACUUUUCAGCGAUUGAAAAUGGUCUUCAUCAGUAACAUUCCUUAUCAAAUUAACAGAAUUUAUAUAUCAGUAUAAAACUAUGGAGGAUGUUGGAAAAAUAUUGGAAGCAUUUUUCAGUAAUUGAAAUGGCCCUUGUAAAUAACAGCCCUUAUUUAUAACAACAAAGAGUAGGUUACACAGACUUGUACUGUACAAAUUUUUUUUUUUUAAUAAUAAUACUAUUUUUAUAAGCAAUAUCGACAAGAAACCACCACAGGCAGAUGCAGUAUAGUGUUAUGUAGUAAAAUGUUUCCAACACAAGGUUUUCCUUUCUAAUGGCUCAAAAACUUCCCUUGGCUCUUCAAAUUUUCGUGAACAACAAAGAUUGUAAAAAUGAUGCAACGAAACAAACAAAAAUGUUAUGAAAGUGAAGAAAAUGAUACAAAUUUAUCAAUAAAUGAAAUUAUCAAUGCCUAUACAAAAAGACAACCACAAAAAUGUGAGUAAAAUGAGAAAACAUGAUACACUGAUCAUCAAGGCAAUCUCUUGAAGGUCACACUACUCAAACCAUAAUACGGCUCAAAAAGACCAUCAUGAUCUAAGUUAUUCCAUUUUGCAUACAUAUUCGCAUCAUUGUUCCCAAUUUCAACUUUUGACAAGAUUUCAAAUAGUGCAUAUAAAAUACAUGCCCAGAUGAAAUAUAUUUUUCAACUUAAAAAUCAUAGUUUUAGUAACGAAACU
RNAcentral lists this long non-coding RNA (1089 nucleotides) under Amborella trichopoda. RNAcentral describes it as "long non-coding RNA (ATRI_LNC000557)". The record is from RNAcentral. Lineage: Eukaryota; Viridiplantae; Streptophyta; Magnoliopsida; Amborellales; Amborellaceae.